This 888-nucleotide ribosomal RNA is filed under the name uncultured archaeon. RNAcentral's name for it is "bacterial SSU rRNA". It matches the Rfam family "Archaeal small subunit ribosomal RNA", at positions 26 to 893 of the family's 1478-position model. The record is from RNAcentral.
ACUGCUAUCGGGGUGGGACUAAGACAUGCGAGUUGAGCGUCUCUAGCUAUGUUGAGACGCGGCAUACGGCUCAGUAACACGUGGCUAACCUACCCUCAGGACAGGGACAAACCCGGGAAACUGGGGCUAAUACCAGAUAGGCGAGGACGCCUGGAAUGGUUUCUCACCCAAAAGACUUUGGAAACAUGCUUCCAAGUCGCCUGGGGAUGGGGCCGCGUCCGAUCAGGUCGUUGGUAAGGCAAUGGCUUACCAAGCCUAUAACCGGUACGGGCCGUGAGAGCGGUAGCCCGGAGAUGGGCACUGAGACAAGGGCCCAGGCCCUACGGGGCGCAGCAGUCGCGAAAACUCCGCAAUGCACGAAAGUGUGACGGGGCUACCCCGAGUGCCGUCCGCUGAGGAUGGCUUUUCCUCGGUGUAACUAGCCGGGGGAAUAAGGAGAGGGCAAGACUGGUGUCAGCCGCCGCGGUAAUACCAGCUCUCCGAGUGGUAGGGAUGAUUAUUGGGCUUAAAGCGUCCGUAGCUGGCUUAGCAAGUCUCCUGUUAAAUUCAGCGACCUAAUCGUUGAGCCGCGGGAGAUACUACUAGGCUAGGAGGCGGGAGAGGUCGACGGUACUUUCGGGGUAGGGGUGAAAUCCUAUAAUCCCGGGAGGACCACCAGUGGCGAAGGCUGUCGACUAGAACGCGCUCGACGGUGAGGGACGAAAGCUGGGGGAGCGAACCGGAUUAGAUACCCGGGUAGUCCCAGCUGUAAACUAUGCGGGCUAGGUGUUGGGGUGGCUACGGGCCACUUCAGUGCCGCAGGAAAGCCAUUAAGCCCGCCGCCUGGGGAGUACGGCCGCAAGGCUGAAACUUAAAGGAAUUGGCGGGGGAGCACCACAAGGCGUGAAG